RNAcentral lists this ribosomal RNA (405 nucleotides) under Triticum aestivum (bread wheat). RNAcentral describes it as "partial small subunit ribosomal RNA". The record is from RNAcentral. Lineage: Eukaryota; Viridiplantae; Streptophyta; Magnoliopsida; Poales; Poaceae.
AUGUCGGAGGAGAAGCACCACCACCUGUUCCACCACAAGGAGGGCGAGGACUUCCAGCCCGCCGCUGACGGCGGCGUCGACACGUACGGGUACUCGACCGAGACGGUGGUGACCGCCACCGGCAACGACGGCGAGUACGAGCGGAUCACCAAGGAGGAGAAGCACCACAAGCACAAGGAGCACCUCGGCGAGAUGGGCGCAGCCGCGGCCGGAGCCUUCGCCCUCUACGAGAAGCACGAGGCGAAGAAGGACCCGGAGCACGCGCACAAGCACAAGAUCGAGGAGGAGGUGGCUGCCGCCGCAGCCGUCGGCGCCGGCGGCUUCGUCUUCCACGAGCACCACGAGAAGAAGCAGGACCACAAGGAGGCCGUGCGUGUGCCUACGUUACGUGCGUUCCAUAAGUGA